AAAGUCGUAACAAGGUUUCCGUAGGUGAACCUGCGGAAGGAUCAUUAAAGAUUUUAACAGUUGCUUAACGCAAUCGGAUGUAGGGAGGAGCUUUGCCGUUGCGGCGUCGCUCCUCCGUACAUUUUCAUCUAUCCAUAACACCUGUGCACUGUUGGAUGCUUGCAUCCACUUUUAAACUAAACAUUGAUGUAACAAAUGUAGUCUUAUUAUAACAUAAUAAAACUUUUAACAACGGAUCUCUUGGCUCUC
This 249-nucleotide unclassified non-coding RNA is filed under the name Basidiomycota sp. Its description in RNAcentral is "partial contains small subunit ribosomal RNA, internal transcribed spacer 1, and 5.8S ribosomal RNA". The stretch from base 1 to 47 matches the Rfam family "Eukaryotic small subunit ribosomal RNA", at positions 1785 to 1831 of the family's 1831-position model. The record is from RNAcentral. Lineage: Eukaryota; Fungi; Basidiomycota.